RNAcentral lists this non-coding RNA (106 nucleotides) under Pelobacter propionicus. Its description in RNAcentral is "SAM-I sequence". It matches the Rfam family "SAM riboswitch aptamer (S box leader)". From Rfam's summary of the family: The SAM riboswitch is found upstream of a number of genes which code for proteins involved in methionine or cysteine biosynthesis in Gram-positive bacteria. The SAM riboswitch acts at the level of transcription termination control. The predicted structure consists of a complex stem-loop region followed by a single stem loop terminator region. Lineage: Bacteria; Pseudomonadati; Thermodesulfobacteriota; Desulfuromonadia; Desulfuromonadales; Desulfuromonadaceae. RNAcentral also lists the same sequence under 1 other name. The record is from RNAcentral.
UUCUUAUCAAGAGCGACCGAGGGACUAGCCCGGUGACGUCGCGGCAACCUGCCCCAAGGGCAAGGUGCCAAUUCUAGCGGAAUCGUAUGAUUCCGGGAGAUAAGGA